Molecule: ribosomal RNA, 275 nt
Filed under: uncultured bacterium
Lineage: Bacteria
Description: partial 16S ribosomal RNA
Rfam family: Bacterial small subunit ribosomal RNA
Source: RNAcentral
UGAGUCCUACGGGACGCAGCAGUGAGGAAUAUUGGUCAAUGGUCGGGAGACUGAACCAGCCAAGCCGCGUGAGGGAUGAAGGUACAGAGUAUCGUAAACCUCUUUUGUCAGGGAACAAAGGCGGGGACGUGUCCCCGGAUGAGUGUACCUGAAGAAAAAGCAUCGGCUAACUCCGUGCCAGCAGCCGCGGUAAUACGGAGGAUGCGGGCGUUAUCCGGAUUUAUUGGGUUUAAAGGGUGCGCAGGCGGUCCGGUAAGUCAGCGGCCAAAGCCCGG